AGCGUACACGGUGGAUGCCCUGGCAGUCAGAGGCGAUGAAGGACGUGCUAAUCUGCGAAAAGCGUCGGUAAGGUGAUAUGAACCGUUAUAACCGGCGAUGUCCGAAUGGGGAAACCCAGUGCAAUUCGUUGCACUAUCGUUAACUGAAUACAUAGGUUAACGAGGCGAACCGGGGGAACUGAAACAUCUAAGUACCCCGAGGAAAAGAAAUCAACCGAGAUUCCCCCAGUAGCGGCGAGCGAACGGGGAGCAGCCCAGAGUCUGAAUCAGCUUGUGUGUUAGUGGAACGGUCUGGAAAGUCCGACGGUACAGGGUGAUAGUCCCGUACACGAAAGCACACAUGCUGUGAACUCGAAGAGUAGGGCGGGACACGUGGUAUCCUGUCUGAAUAUGGGGGGACCAUCCUCCAAGGCUAAAUACUCCUGACUGACCGAUAGUGAACCAGUACCGUGAGGGAAAGGCGAAAAGAACCCCGGCGAGGGGAGUGAAAAAGAACCUGAAACCGUGUACGUACAAGCAGUGGGAGCACCUUCGGGUGUGACUGCGUACCUUUUGUAUAAUGGGUCAGCGACUUAUAUUCUGUAGCAAGGUUAACCGUAUAGGGGAGCCGCAGGGAAACCGAGUCUUAACUGGGCGUUAAGUUGCAGGGUAUAGACCCGAAACCCGGUGAUCUAGCCAUGGGCAGGUUGAAGGUUGGGUAACACUAACUGGAGGACCGAACCGACUAAUGUUGAAAAAUUAGCGGAUGACUUGUGGCUGGGGGUGAAAGGCCAAUCAAACCGGGAGAUAGCUGGUUCUCCCCGAAAGCUAUUUAGGUAGCGCCUCGUGAAUUCAUCUUCGGGGGUAGAGCACUGUUUCGGCUAGGGGGCCAUCCCGGCUUACCAACCCGAUGCAAACUACGAAUACCGAAGAAUGUUAUCACGGGAGACACACGGCGGGUGCUAACGUCCGUCGUGAAGAGGGAAACAACCCAGACCGCCAGCUAAGGUCCCAAAGUCAUGGUUAAGUGGGAAACGAUGUGGGAAGGCACAGACAGCCAGGAUGUUGGCUUAGAAGCAGCCAUCAUUUAAAGAAAGCGUAAUAGCUCACUGGUCGAGUCGGCCUGCGCGGAAGAUGUAACGGGGCUAAACCAUGCACCGAAGCUGCGGCAGCGACACUAUGUGUUGUUGGGUAGGGGAGCGUUCUGUAAGCCUGCGAAGGUGUGCUGUGAGGCAUGCUGGAGGUAUCAGAAGUGCGAAUGCUGACAUAAGUAACGAUAAAGCGGGUGAAAAGCCCGCUCGCCGGAAGACCAAGGGUUCCUGUCCAACGUUAAUCGGGGCAGGGUGAGUCGACCCCUAAGGCGAGGCCGAAAGGCGUAGUCGAUGGGAAACAGGUUAAUAUUCCUGUACUUGGUGUUACUGCGAAGGGGGGACGGAGAAGGCUAUGUUAGCCGGGCGACGGUUGUCCCGGUUUAAGCAUGUAGGCUGGUUAUCCAGGCAAAUCCGGAUAAUCAAGGCUGAGGUGUGAUGACGAGGCACUACGGUGCUGAAGUAACAAAUGCCCUGCUUCCAGGAAAAGCCUCUAAGCAUCAGGUAACAUCAAAUCGUACCCCAAACCGACACAGGUGGUCAGGUAGAGAAUACCAAGGCGCUUGAGAGAACUCGGGUGAAGGAACUAGGCAAAAUGGUGCCGUAACUUCGGGAGAAGGCACGCUGGUGUGUAGGUGAAGUCCCUGCGGAUGGAGCUGAGACCAGUCGAAGAUACCAGCUGGCUGCAACUGUUUAUUAAAAACACAGCACUGUGCAAACACGAAAGUGGACGUAUACGGUGUGACGCCUGCCCGGUGCCGGAAGGUUAAUUGAUGGGGUUAUCCGUAAGGAGAAGCUCUUGAUCGAAGCCCCGGUAAACGGCGGCCGUAACUAUAACGGUCCUAAGGUAGCGAAAUUCCUUGUCGGGUAAGUUCCGACCUGCACGAAUGGCGUAAUGAUGGCCAGGCUGUCUCCACCCGAGACUCAGUGAAAUUGAACUCGCUGUGAAGAUGCAGUGUACCCGCGGCAAGACGGAAAGACCCCGUGAACCUUUACUAUAGCUUGACACUGAACACUGGUCCUUGAUGUGUAGGAUAGGUGGGAGGCUUUGAAGCGUGGACGCCAGUCUGCGUGGAGCCAACCUUGAAAUACCACCCUUUAAUGUUUGAUGUUCUAACGUUGGCCCCUUACCGGGGUUGCGGACAGUGUCUGGUGGGUAGUUUGACUGGGGCGGUCUCCUCCCAAAGCGUAACGGAGGAGCACGAAGGUUAGCUAAUCCUGGUCGGACAUCAGGAGGUUAGUGCAAUGGCAUAAGCUAGCUUGACUGCGAGCGUGACGGCGCGAGCAGGUGCGAAAGCAGGUCAUAGUGAUCCGGUGGUUCUGAAUGGAAGGGCCAUCGCUCAACGGAUAAAAGGUACUCCGGGGAUAACAGGCUGAUACCGCCCAAGAGUUCAUAUCGACGGCGGUGUUUGGCACCUCGAUGUCGGCUCAUCACAUCCUGGGGCUGAAGUAGGUCCCAAGGGUAUGGCUGUUCGCCAUUUAAAGUGGUACGCGAGCUGGGUUUAGAACGUCGUGAGACAGUUCGGUCCCUAUCUGCCGUGGGCGCUGGAGAAUUGAGGGGGGCUGCUCCUAGUACGAGAGGACCGGAGUGGACGCAUCACUGGUGUUCGGGUUGUCAUGCCAAUGGCACUGCCCGGUAGCUAAAUGCGGAAGAGAUAAGUGCUGAAAGCAUCUAAGCACGAAACUUGCCCCGAGAUGAGUUCUCCCUGAGACUUUAAGUCUCCUGAAGGAACGUUAAAGACGAUGACGUUGAUAGGCCGGGUGUGUAAGCGCAGCGAUGCGUUGAGCUAACCGGUACUAAUGAACCGUGAGGCUUAACC
This 2887-nucleotide ribosomal RNA is filed under the name human gut metagenome. RNAcentral describes it as "bacterial LSU rRNA". It matches the Rfam family "Bacterial large subunit ribosomal RNA". The record is from RNAcentral.